This is a long non-coding RNA of Cavia porcellus (domestic guinea pig), 4545 nucleotides long. RefSeq lists it as uncharacterized. Lineage: Eukaryota; Metazoa; Chordata; Mammalia; Rodentia; Caviidae. The record is from RefSeq and is a predicted model, not a curated record. The transcript is spliced from 2 exons.
CCGCCCGCGGGGACGCGGUGCGGCCGCGACGCCGAGCCAUUUGCAUUCCCCGGCAGUCAUUUUAUACGCGGAGAAAACGUGGCUACAAAUGACAGUAUGGUUAGUGUUCUGUGUUGGACAACUCUGGCGAGGAGACCACAAACCUGAGGAACCUCCUGGCUCUAGCCCUGCCAUCUCAUCUAGCUCUCUAGAUGGUUUGGAAUAGAGGCAAGGAAGGGCUUUGGAUCUUAGGCAUCAAAUGCCCAGGAAAAUAAUUAGUAAGUAGUUGACUUUAUAAAAAAAAUCCUGAGCAGAGGCGGAGGUUUACAUGGUAACAUUUUCUAUUCCUAUUCCCAUUCCCUUUGUUCGCACUUUCCCCCAGCCUUGCCACAAUUCCACGGGCGGGCCAACCGUCCGUGUGUGAAGUUGGACCUUUAGGAGUGUUUUGUGUCUUUUAGGAGUUAUUUGUUGCACACUAAACUUGCUGACAUGUCAUUUAGAAAAGUGAGUACUGUGUAUGCACUGUAACAACUAUUUCAUAAGUAUUUUUGGUGUACAUUGGGCCUCAGCACUCACGAGCUGAGGAGUAAGAGGUCCCGGAGUAUGCAUUGACACGAUGCGCUGCAAAUGAUCCAGGCACGGGGGAGUCCCUGAGUGUGCAUUGAUUCCAUGCGUGGCCAUGGCUCCUACAGGGCUGUUAUGGUGCAGUUUGCCAAUGAUCCAUGAGGUAAAGACUCCCCGAAUACACAUUGACACGAUAGACUGGAGUUGUUUGGGUCUGUCUUGGCAAUGAUCCGAGGAUAAUGGCGUUAUCUUGAGAUCGGAGCGCUUAUGGUCCUAAUGGCACAACCAGAACUGCCCCAGAUAUGUCAUACUGUGACUCUCAGUGCAGGGCACAGUGGUCUUUGACCUCCUGCAUCAUGAUACUGUGGUGCUGCCAAUGUCUGUUGAUGUUGUGUCUGAUGCAAUUGAAAUAUUUUUUUUCUCCCCAUUUAAACAUUUGUAAAAUACUACCUGGAUUGGAGGGGUCUGUGUUUUGGUAGUUUCACUUAGGUAAUCAUAGGCUCAAGACAUAGGUGAGGUCAAAUUUAAAGUGAAAAAAGUGGUUUGGGGAACAUAUGCUUGGAAACAUGCAUUCGAGGGAGAACAAAUACAAACUAAGAAAACCUUGUGGCUGAAACUAGAACAGUUAAUGUAAAAAGGUAGUAAUAGGAUGGGCAAUACUUCUAAAAGUCAUAAAAGUAAUAUAUUUAAUAGUAAUAGAAUUCAAACACUGCAGAACUGUAGAAAUAAAGGAUAUAAUUCUAUCUCCUUUUCAUAGCUCACUUAUAUCCUAUCCAUUGUUACAACCACUAUUAAUAUUUUGUAUAGUCUUAUAGAAAAAUUUUUUUGUGGUAGUGGGAUUAACCUCAGGGCUUUCACACUGAAUUAAGUCCCCAGCCCUAUUAAAAUUUUUGUUAUUUUGAGACAGAGUCUCCUUAAGUUGCUAAAUUGCUAAGGGCGGGCUUGAACUUUUUGUUCCUUCUGUCUCGGUCCCCCAAAGUUCUGGAAUUACAGGCGUGUGCCACCAUGCCUGGAUUCCUCUAGUGAUUUUUGUACAUAUACACAUGUAUGUCUGUACUCUUUAUUUAUUUACACAAGUAGAUUGAUGGCAAUGUUACUUUUCAAUGUCUUGUACUGCCUCUCCCUGACUCUCUUUUUUUCUGGUACGGGAAUCAAACUCAGGACCUCAUGCUUGCCAGGCAGGUACUGUGCCACUGAACUAAAUCGCUGGCCUCUUGCCUUGUACUGUCUCCUAAUGGUAAACUGACUAUCUCUCCUCAGGGACACCUGCAAUGGUAACAACUGCAUGGAAUUCUGGGGUAUGGAUGUAACAAUUUUUACGUGCAUGUUAUUUCAACUAUCCCUGCAAUGAAUAUUGUCACACCUUUUCAUUUAUAAAUUUGCACAAGUUUGCUCAUAGGGUAAGUUUUUAGCAGUAGACACACUGGGACAAAGAGACAGACAUUUAAAUAUUGAUACACAUUGCCAAGUUAACCAUCAUACACUCCAACUCAAAAUUGGGUGCCUAUAUUUGCACUCAACGCCAACGUGGCGUUUGAUCACAGAGGGUGCUUCUGAUGCGUGAGAGUGAAUUUUCCCAGUGAAGUGCUCUGCUUAGCUUUAUGGAGAGAGUUCAGCACUGAGGCUUUGAUAAAUGCAUUGAAGUAUAGAAGUCAGACUACAAAGUAGGAAGUCCUGCUAGUCAAGAUAAAAAAUGAUUAAGCUGCAAAUCACACUGAGAUCAGUUGAAUUUUGGUAAUAACCUAUCAACAUGGGAAAAUUGAUAUUAGAUCACAUUAAUUCAUCAUUCAGCAGAUAUUUGCUGAGAAGUUAUCAUUCUUUCUCUUCAUAUUGUCAACAACCAUUUGCUGCCCUUUGAGUUCUGAAAAUACUAGAAUUUUAUUCUCACUGGGCAGGCUUUGCUCUAUAGCAACAAAAUAUCAUGUUUAGUUCAGGCAGGAGUCCGGUUGGAGUACUCUGCUGUGGAUUCCAUGUACAGAAUGGUCUCAUAGGAAGGGAUUUGGAAAUUACGCAUCUCAACAUAUGAGACGGAUGGUGAACUCCAUGAACUUUCAGCCAAAUUCCUCUGACUUCUUGGUUUCCUUUGUAAAAUUUAAGACUGAAAACAGUAACUCCUAGGGCUGGCAAGACAAUUCUUUUCAAUAAUGAAAGAAUUUCGCCAACUUAUUUCCCAUGUGAGUCCCUGAUCAUGAGAGAUAUUGUGGCACAUGUUUUGUCCUCUGGGUAGUCUUCUUGUGUUUAUUUUGUUUUCUUCUAGAUAACAUCAGAUACAAUUUAGAAAAUUCUGAGUCUAAAAAUUGGGAGAAUUACAUAAAAUUCAUUUGAAAGUCAAUUUGGACUUUCCACAAAAUACCAGUUACCAAGAAGGAUCAAAUUAUUGUCAGAACUGUAAUCUGACAUCAUAAUCUUUUUUCUCCAAAUGUAUUUUAUUUCAAAAAGAAAAAAAAAAUUCAAAGCACAACGAUCAAGGGAUAGCAGUGGUACAUACGUUGCAGAUUGCCAUCCCCAAAUCAGUCACCCAAAGCACAAGACAUCUGCAUUUACUUUCUGAACAGUACCAGCACAAAUCUUCUCUUUAAUGAACUCUGAGAAAUCAGUAGAAGAAUUAUCUUAACUGUAAUAUAUAUAAUAUAAACAGAAUACAUGUUAUAUUAUUUAUAUAAUAUGUAACAUUUAUAUAAUACUCAUAUAUGAUAUAUAUUAUAAAUAGUUUCAGCUCCUCAUACUAGCAAGACAAUAUGAUGUUUACAUAUGCAGGACAUCAGAAUCUUUCAACAAUCAUCUACUCAUAAAGAUUGUUCUUUUGCUGGGGGUUUAGCUCAGCAGCACAAGUGCCAGCCUGGCAAGCGUGAGAUCCUGAGUUCAAUCCCUGGUACUCCUUCUCCCCACCAAAAAGAUUGUUCUUUCAUCAUUGUGAAGAAGAAAGUACCUCAACCAGUAUGAAGUAGAGAUGCUGUAGAAUGUGUCAUUUGUAUUACUAGUACCAAGAACUUACGUAUUUCUACACCAGUGAAGACCCAGAGGGCUAAGAGUAUCCAUUUGAGACACCAGCUCAGAUGAAAGAAAUGCUAUUUAGCUGAGUGUGGGGCUGCAUGCUCACCUUUACAGGAUCAGCACUCAGGAGACUGAGUUCAAGGCCAGCUGGGCUACAUAGUGAGUUCAAACCUGGUCUGACUUUUUCAUUUAGUAUGUUAAUGCCUCUGUAUGAAAACAGAAAUGAUAUAAGCUUAAAUAUGUAGAUGAGAGGAUCUAAUUAUUGUCACUAAAAGAAGAAAAAAGGAAACAAUUAGAAAAAAAUGAUAAAAUUUAAAGCUGUAUGUCCUUUAAAAAUCAAGUAUUGGAAGAUCUCUCAUAAUACAGACUUGUCAUCAAUUAACUUGAAAUUUUAAUUUUCUCAUUUAACAAGACAACUUUAAGUAACAUGCACCUAAUGAACUGUACUAAUGCCUUAACACUUAGAACCUGGAAAUCUCCUAACAUUGGGUAGAAACUGAGGAAGAAAAAGGCCAAUGAAAACUUGCAAAGGUCACUUCAAAUUUGUGGAAAGACCACAUUGUCGUGAUGAAGCAGGAAAAUUUUGAGAAAAAAAUCAAAAAAUUUUUCCAUGUCAGAAAACAUGUGGCAUUUUUUGGUAAAUGAAGUUGGAACUGCACACAGAAUUGAAUUUGUCUAAGAGUUACUCAACUGAGGAAGAGCCAGCCACAAUGCUUCACACCAUGGAGCUGCAGAGAAUUCAGUGUCAUUUCCUGGAAUUAUUUUCCUGGUGCAAAGUGUAAGAGACUGAUAAUAAAAAUCUAGAUAAUAAGUUCUUUUGUCAACAUUUUAGCAUGAGCUCUAAAGGGGUUAACAAAGCAAGGAGACAAAGACAACAGUUCUUCAGUGGAUUUUUUAGCUGUUUUGAGAAGCCCUGGGUACGUGCGACUCUUCUUGGUGCAUUACAGUUGAAAGACAAACUUUUCUGUCCCCAAAUCAACAAUAAAAUGUCCCUGAGCAAUUCUUAAA